GAUGAACGCUGGCGGCGUGCCUAAUACAUGCAAGUCGAGCGAACAGACGAGAGUGCUUGCACUCUCUGACGUUAGCGGCGGACGGGUGAGUAACACGUGGGUAACCUACCUAUAAGACUGGGAUAACUUCGGGAAACCGGAGCUAAUACCGGAUAAUAUUUAGCUUCGCAUGAAGCAAUAGUGAAAGACGGUUCUGCUGUCACUUAUAGAUGGACCCGCGGUGUAUUAGCUAGUUGGUGAGGUAACGGCUCACCAAGGCAACGAAACAUAGCCGACCUGAGAGGGUGAUCGGCCACACUGGGACUGAGACACGGCCCAGACUCCUACGGGAGGCAGCAGUAGGGAAUCUUCCGCAAUGGACGAAAGUCUGACGGAGCAAUGCCGCGUGAGUGAAGAAGGUUUUCGGAUCGUAAAACUCUGUUGUAAGGGAAGAACAAGUACGUUAGUAACUGAACGUACCUUGACGGUACCUUACCAGAAAGCCACGGCUAACUACGUG
Molecule: ribosomal RNA, 499 nt
Filed under: uncultured bacterium
Lineage: Bacteria
Description: partial 16S ribosomal RNA
Rfam family: Bacterial small subunit ribosomal RNA
Source: RNAcentral